This 524-nucleotide ribosomal RNA is filed under the name uncultured bacterium. RNAcentral's name for it is "partial 16S ribosomal RNA". It matches the Rfam family "Bacterial small subunit ribosomal RNA", at positions 28 to 523 of the family's 1533-position model. The record is from RNAcentral.
GACGAACGCUGGCGGCGUGCCUAAUACAUGCAAGUCGAGCGCAGGAAAUCGACGGAACCCUUCGGGGGGAAGUCGACGGAAUGAGCGGCGGACGGGUGAGAAACACGUAAAGAACCUGCCCUCAGGUCUGGGAUAACCACGAGAAAUCGGGGCUAAUACCGGAUGGGUCAUCGGGCCGCAUGGUCCGAAGAUGAAAGGCGCUUCGGCGUCGCCUGGGGAUGGCUUUGCGGUGCAUUAGCUAGUUGGUGGGGUAAUGGCCCACCAAGGCGACGAUGCAUAGCCGACCUGAGAGGGUGAUCGGCCACACUGGGACUGAGACACGGCCCAGACUCCUACGGGAGGCAGCAGUAGGGAAUCUUCCACAAUGGACGAAAGUCUGAUGGAGCAACGCCGCGUGAACGAUGAAGGCCUUCGGGUCGUAAAGUUCUGUUGUAAGGGAAGAACAAGUGCCGCAGGCAAUGGCGGCACCUUGACGGUACCUUGCGAGAAAGCCACGGCUAACUACGUGCCAGCCGCCGCCGUAA